RNAcentral lists this long non-coding RNA (658 nucleotides) under Homo sapiens (human). Its description in RNAcentral is "non-protein coding lnc-SH3BGR-3:1". The record is from RNAcentral. Lineage: Eukaryota; Metazoa; Chordata; Mammalia; Primates; Hominidae.
CAGCCUGAAGACCCGGGAGGGAAAAAUGUGGCACUGCUCUUGCAAGACAAGGAACCCGUGGCUCAGCACCACCUGCCAUAACUGCACACUGGCACAGCUUCUAGCAAUACCCACCAAGCGUCCACUGAGGAACUUACGGUAUUUGCCAACUUUGGCAAAGGAUAAGAUAAUGUUGUGGAAAAUACCAUACUCUGCGGCAGUUUUAGGUAUGGCUGCAGACACUGCCACAUCCCGAGACAGAUCGCCCUGAGCUCUUCUAAUAAGAGACAACUGCUGGGCUACUGUCUGGUGAAUAAUCGAAAUUGCCUGUUGCCAGGGCAUGUGACCCACUGUGACUCUCCUGGAGAGCAGCAAUCAAGACUAAAGUAUUAGUUCCUGGAGCUGCAGGAGACAUUCAGAGUGGCAUCUGUUCUCACUGGUUGGCAGCAGAAUUGGUUCAUUUCAGCCUGCAAUCCUCUUCCAGUAAAUCCUCUUCCAGUAAAUCCUCUUCUCCACCCCCAUUUACCUAUAAGACCUCCUCCUCCCUCUCCACUUCCUCCCUCUCCCUCUUUCCCUUCCCCUUUCCCUCCCUCCUUUUUCUCUUCCCUUCUUCUCUCUCUCUCUUUCUCUGCCUCCCUCUCUCCUUCCCUCUCCCACCUUCCUCCUUCCUUCUCUCUCU